GCGGCGUGCUUCAUACAUGCAAGUCGAACGAGAAGCAGGAGCUUGCUCCUGUGGAAAGUGGCGGACGGGUGAGUAACACGUAGGAAAUCUGCCUUUGGGUGGGGGACAACAGUUGGAAACGACUGCUAAUACCCCAUAUGAGCUUGGUUGCAAUACCAAUCUUGAAAACUCCGGUGCCUAAAGAUGAGCCUGCGUCUGAUUAGCUUGUUGGCGGGGUAAUGGCCCACCAAGGCGACGAUCAGUAGCUGGUUUGAGAGGAUGGUCAGCCACAAUGGGACUGAGACACGGCCCAUACUCCUACGGGAGGCAGCAGUAGGGAAUCUUGCGCAAUGGGGGAAACCCUGACGCAGCAACGCCGCGUGCAUGACGAAGCCCUUCGGGGUGUUCAGUUCUGUCAGUAGGGAAGAAUUUUGACUGUACCUACAAAGGAAGCACCGGCUAACUCCGUGCCAGCCGCCGCAGUAA
This 465-nucleotide ribosomal RNA is filed under the name uncultured bacterium. RNAcentral's name for it is "partial 16S ribosomal RNA". It matches the Rfam family "Bacterial small subunit ribosomal RNA", at positions 39 to 523 of the family's 1533-position model. The record is from RNAcentral.